UUUGAAUCACAUUUUACAUAGUCUAGGAAACUGACAAAAGAAUCCUAUAGAGAAUUGUUUUAUAAAGUGAAUAACUGCUUCUCUACCUACCUGCCCCUCUCAUUCUUCUUUUCUGUGCGUGUUUUUGGGGGGCUGUUAUGGGAUAAAUCUUGUUUGGCUUAAAAAUCACUAAAACGCAGCCUUUCAAAUCCAAAACAGAGAGCUUAGGUACCCAACAUUCUAUAGAAUGUAUUAUUUCCUCAAGAGGUUGCUAGGAACAGUUAUGUAGAUCUACCAGGUGCAGGGAAGCACUCCACACUCUCACCCAGGUCCUGUAUCCCUGCAAGACUGCGUUGGAAAGACUGAAGAGGAAGCUAAAGAAUGAUGCGCUCCACCACAAUGAGGGACUAAACAACAAAAAG
This 401-nucleotide long non-coding RNA is filed under the name Pan troglodytes (chimpanzee). RNAcentral's name for it is "long non-coding RNA NONPTRT006345". Lineage: Eukaryota; Metazoa; Chordata; Mammalia; Primates; Hominidae. The record is from RNAcentral.